UUGGUAUGCAGUUCUAGGGUAUGAGGGUGAGAGUUCUGCUGUGCAUCUUUUGGUAAGACCACAAAAAUUAUACUUCAUAUCAAUAUCUUUAUUUCUAAUAAUUAAAAUUAAAAAAUAUUUUAUGUAGUUCUGUUAUAUUUUUAUUUUAUGUUUUACAAUAUAUUGCUAAUUUUAUUUUUAUUAUGUAGACUGAUUCUAUGUCAGGUCUUGUGUUGGAUGCUCGUUGUGCUUUAUCUACGAC
RNAcentral lists this long non-coding RNA (241 nucleotides) under Elaeis guineensis (African oil palm). RNAcentral describes it as "long non-coding RNA (EGUI_LNC043168)". The record is from RNAcentral. Lineage: Eukaryota; Viridiplantae; Streptophyta; Magnoliopsida; Arecales; Arecaceae.